AUUGAACGCUGGCGGCAGGCCUAACACAUGCAAGUCGAACGAGUGGCGGACGGGUGAGUAAUGUCUGGGAAACUGCCUGAUGGAGGGGGAUAACUACUGGAAACGGUAGCUAAUACCGCAUACCAUCAGAUGUGCCCAGAUGGGAUUAGCGAGUAGGUGGGGUAAAGGCUCACCUAGGCGACUAUCCCUAGCUGGUCUGAGAGGAUGACCGGCCACACUGGAACUGAGACACGGUCCAGACUCCUCCGGUAGGCAGCAGUGGGGAAUAUUGCACAAUGGGCGCAAGCCUGAUGCAGCCAUGCCGCGUGGAUGAAGAAGGCCGUCGGGUUGUAAAGUACUUUCAGCGGGGAGGCGUUACCCGCAGAAGAAGCACCGGCUAACUCCGUGCCAGCAGCCGCGGUAAUAC
Molecule: ribosomal RNA, 406 nt
Filed under: uncultured bacterium
Lineage: Bacteria
Description: partial 16S ribosomal RNA
Rfam family: Bacterial small subunit ribosomal RNA
Source: RNAcentral